RNAcentral lists this ribosomal RNA (606 nucleotides) under Triticum aestivum (bread wheat). RNAcentral's name for it is "partial small subunit ribosomal RNA". The record is from RNAcentral. Lineage: Eukaryota; Viridiplantae; Streptophyta; Magnoliopsida; Poales; Poaceae.
AUGUCCAUGUGCUGGCGGUGGAGGAGGCGGAGGACGGCUCAACUCGAGGUGGCACAUCCUUGCGUCGGGGUCGUCGACGGGGAUCAAUUGACCACCGGCAUGCAGCGGCUCAGGUCCGGACUGCUGCGCGGCCAUGGGGCCAUGGCCAGGCGGAUCCACAACGCCCGUGUCAACGAGAGCGUCGUCCUAGACAUCUACUCCUUCAACACGCUGAUCCGGGGCUGCGGGCAGGUGAUCUGGAGCGUGCACGGAAGGUGUUCGAUGGUCCGUUCUUUGGGCAGUUAUGAAGAAAAGUGUGGAUUAUGCUAUUCUCUGUUCCGAUUCUUGCACCUGUUGGUUUUUUACUUUCAGAGCUCUGGAAAAUAUGAGAUGAACUUACCUAACAUGCAGAAACCUGGAUGCGGGAAGGGCUCUGCGGUAGAUCAAUCAAGGGAACAGACUAUUGGAGCAGUGAAAAAGAAAAUGAAGGAACAGAUGGAUGAUUUUCAGGAGUACCAGGAAGUCGUUGAAAGAAGGGUAUUCACUGUAACUGGUAAUCGCCUUGAUGAAGAGGAGAGAACGACAAAAAUAGAUGUACAAGCAAGCAGAAAACAAGAAGGAAAUUGA